GAUGAACGCUGGCGGCGUGCUUAAUACAUGCAAGUCGAGCGAAGCGCUUUAACGGAAUUCUUCGGAAGGAAGAUGAAGUGACUGAGCGGCGGACGGGUGAGUAACGCGUGGGUAACCUGCCUCAUACAGGGGGAUAACAGUUAGAAAUGGCUGCUAAUACCGCAUAAGCGCACAGGACCGCAUGGUCUGGUGUGAAAAACUCCGGUGGUAUGGGAUGGACCCGCGUUGGAUUAGGUAGUUGGUGGGGUAACGGCCUACCAAGCCGACGAUCCAUAGCCGGCCUGAGAGGGUGGACGGCCACAUUGGGACUGAGACACGGCCCAGACUCCUACGGGAGGCAGCAGUAGGGAAUAUUGCACAAUGGGGGAAACCCUGAUGCAGCGACGCCGCGUGAAGGAAGAAGUAUCUCGGUAUGUAAACUUCUAUCAGCAGGGAAGACAAUGACGGUAC
RNAcentral lists this ribosomal RNA (450 nucleotides) under uncultured bacterium. RNAcentral's name for it is "bacterial SSU rRNA". It matches the Rfam family "Bacterial small subunit ribosomal RNA", at positions 28 to 478 of the family's 1533-position model. The record is from RNAcentral.